UGUGGCGCUCAUAUCAGUAGUGGAUAUACCUAUCCCCAUACCGAACAUAGAAGUCAAGCAUUAUUGAGCCAAAGGUAGCCGUUAAACGUGAGAAUAGGUUGUGCCACGC
RNAcentral lists this ribosomal RNA (109 nucleotides) under Mycoplasmataceae bacterium. The record is from RNAcentral. Lineage: Bacteria; Bacillati; Mycoplasmatota; Mollicutes; Mycoplasmatales; Mycoplasmataceae.